ACAGAAGCUCUUAGCAUCACUGAUUAUUACUCCACCAUUAUUCCAGCAGAAGAAACCAUUUUGUGCAAUGUAACACCUGUCUGUAAUUUCUCAGUGUUCUAUGUGGGCAGCGUAAAACUCCAGGCAAAUGAAGAAAGUAACAAGUCACUAAAUGUAGAUAUAGUAAGUGUUCUCUCUCUUAAAACUUUAUUGUAAGGAAGGUUGAAAUGGCUUUCUUUGUCUACACUUAAAAUGCUGAUACCUUGACAUGAUUUUUGUUAUGUUUUUUAGAGUUUAAGU
Molecule: long non-coding RNA, 279 nt
Filed under: Calidris pugnax (ruff)
Lineage: Eukaryota; Metazoa; Chordata; Aves; Charadriiformes; Scolopacidae
Description: lncRNA (ENSCPUG00000012223.1)
Source: RNAcentral